Molecule: ribosomal RNA, 281 nt
Filed under: Dirofilaria immitis (dog heartworm nematode)
Lineage: Eukaryota; Metazoa; Nematoda; Chromadorea; Rhabditida; Onchocercidae
Description: partial small subunit ribosomal RNA
Source: RNAcentral
GGGAGUAAAGUUUUGUUUAAACCGAAAAAAUAUUGACUGACUUUAGAUUUUUCUUUGGAAUAUGUGUUUUUUUGGAGGGCCCUCUUUUAUAGUGAAUUUUGUUGGCGCAUGUAUGAUUGYUUAGUUUUUACUUUUUUGGUAAUGCUUUGUGUUUUAUACAUWUAAAACAGAUAUAUAUUUGGCUUAUGGAUUUAUUUUUCAUGUGUUACUAUUGUUAAUUUUCUUUGGAUUAAUUUUUAAUUUUUUUGUUGAAAUUGGAAAAGAAAGUAAUUUUUUCUUAA